UACAGAGGUCUCGAGCGUUGUUCGGAUUCAUUGGGCGUAAAGGGUGCGUAGGUGGCGGGGUAAGUCGGAUGUGAAAUCCCGGAGCUCAACUCCGGAACUGCAUUCGAUACUGCUUUGCUUGAGUACUGGAGAGGAGAUCGGAAUUUACGGUGUAGCAGUGAAAUGCGUAGAUAUCGUAAGGAAGACCAGUGGCGAAGGCGGAUCUCUGGACAGUUACUGACACUGAGGCACGAAGGCCAGGGGAGCAAACGGG
RNAcentral lists this ribosomal RNA (253 nucleotides) under uncultured bacterium. Its description in RNAcentral is "partial 16S ribosomal RNA". It matches the Rfam family "Bacterial small subunit ribosomal RNA", at positions 524 to 776 of the family's 1533-position model. The record is from RNAcentral.